Molecule: unclassified non-coding RNA, 113 nt
Filed under: Pichia norvegensis
Lineage: Eukaryota; Fungi; Ascomycota; Pichiomycetes; Pichiales; Pichiaceae
Description: sequence contains 18S rRNA gene, ITS1, 5.8S rRNA gene, ITS2, 28S rRNA gene
Source: RNAcentral
GAUCAUUACUGUGAUUUAAACUUCUUUCUUACACCGCGUGAGCGCACAACAACACCUAAACACGAAUAACCAUGUCACCCAGAGAAAAUCUCAAACGAGAAGAAAAAAAAAAA